CAGCACAAAACAUCGUCCCCAGCCCCGCUGCUGCACUCCGACACACGUGAUAAGGAAAUGAGUAGUCCCCCGUACAGUAAUUUCCUCUACGCUGCGGAGUUUCAACACAAUCGCCCUUCAGGCGCGGACAAACUGCCAGUAUGACAGGUGCAGGAAGUCUCUAUCCUUUCUGAAAUGACGUCAGACUACGGUGGUGUCGACACGAAGGUUCUGAACUAGGACAAUUUGGGAUUCAUAAUCUUUCCCUUGUGGGCAGAUCCACCCAACCCCACAGUCCUGCCAGCUGGAAUUUCCAGGAUGUGUCUGAAGGCUCCAAAGCACACAAACAUAUGAUGAAAUCCAGAAGCAUGGACACUACAGACUGAGCCUCUCCCACAUCCUUAAGAUCAUGCAACGUCAAUAAAAUGAAACACUACUGGUCAGAAUUUUCACCUCCAGUGUUCCAUGCCUAAUGAUGUGAUUUUAAGAUGUUACUACCCCAGGAAGAAGCAUAAAGCCCAGAAGAAAACAAGGAGAAGAGGCUUAGGUCUAUUAGUAUUAGUAAGAGUGGAGGAAAAAAAAAAAAAAAAAAGUAAAUCACCACAAACCCAUUUAUGCCCCCAAGUUCAGCAGCAUCCAUGCUUACAUAUAUUUAGCCAUAACAGGUAUGGCUAAAUAAUGUAUAAUGUAACUUGAAGAGUUAGAAGAAGGUAAUUAAUAACUUUUCUGUUUGGUGUAUUUGUUCUACAAGGAGAUUAAAAUAAAAAAUCAUCUGCAUAUUUUUCAUUAUGCACAAAGA
This is a long non-coding RNA of Anas platyrhynchos (mallard), 778 nucleotides long. RefSeq lists it as uncharacterized. Lineage: Eukaryota; Metazoa; Chordata; Aves; Anseriformes; Anatidae. The record is from RefSeq and is a predicted model, not a curated record.